RNAcentral lists this transfer RNA (71 nucleotides) under Ganoderma lucidum Xiangnong No.1. Its description in RNAcentral is "tRNA-Gly (TCC) (tRNA-Gly-TCC-4-1)". It matches the Rfam family "tRNA". Rfam says of the family: Transfer RNA (tRNA) molecules are approximately 80 nucleotides in length. Their secondary structure includes four short double-helical elements and three loops (D, anti-codon, and T loops). The record is from RNAcentral. Lineage: Eukaryota; Fungi; Basidiomycota; Agaricomycetes; Polyporales; Polyporaceae.
ACACUGAUGGUGAAACGGUAUCAUGCUUGCCUUCCAAGCAAACGGCGCGGGUUCGACUCCCGCUCAGUGUA